AGUGAACGCUGGCGGUAGGCCUAACACAUGCAAGUCGAACGGCAGCACAGUAAGAGCUUGCUCUUACGGGUGGCGGGUGGCGGACGGGUGAGGAAUACAUCGGAAUCUACUUUUUCGUGGGGGAUAACGUAGGGAAACUUACGCUAAUACCGCAUACGACCUACGGGUGAAAGCAGGGGAUCUUCGGACCUUGCGCGAUUGAAUGAGCCGAUGUCGGAUUAGCUAGUUGGCGGGGUAAAGGCCCACCAAGGCGACGAUCCGUAGCUGGUCUGAGAGGAUGAUCAGCCACACUGGAACUGAGACACGGUCCAGACUCCUACGGGAGGCAGCAGUGGGGAAUAUUGGACAAUGGGCGCAAGCCUGAUCCAGCAAUACCGCGUGGGUGAAGAAGGCCUUCGGGUUGUAAAGCCCUUUUGUUGGGAAAGAAAAGCAGCAGGUUAAUACCCCGCUGUUCUGACGGUACCCAAAGAAUAAGCACCGGCUAACUUCGUG
Molecule: ribosomal RNA, 492 nt
Filed under: uncultured bacterium
Lineage: Bacteria
Description: partial 16S ribosomal RNA
Rfam family: Bacterial small subunit ribosomal RNA
Source: RNAcentral